GUAUAAUACGACAAGUAGAAAAGUUAAGUUGGUAGCUAUUCCUAUAGCUAAAGAAGAGGUGGUGCUUAUGGUGUAAUAACCAUAUUGAAACCAGAUUCUAAAGAAAGGGGUAGUUGGGUGUCGAUUUCAGAUGCCCUACAACUGAUGCUGAUGUUUGGCACUUUUAUUGUGUCCUUAA
RNAcentral lists this small RNA (178 nucleotides) under Weissella thailandensis. Its description in RNAcentral is "Listeria sRNA rli28". It matches the Rfam family "Listeria sRNA rli28", at positions 11 to 176 of the family's 186-position model. The record is from RNAcentral. Lineage: Bacteria; Bacillati; Bacillota; Bacilli; Lactobacillales; Lactobacillaceae.